This 178-nucleotide ribosomal RNA is filed under the name Anaplasma phagocytophilum. Its description in RNAcentral is "partial 16S ribosomal RNA". It matches the Rfam family "Bacterial small subunit ribosomal RNA", at positions 397 to 592 of the family's 1533-position model. The record is from RNAcentral. Lineage: Bacteria; Pseudomonadati; Pseudomonadota; Alphaproteobacteria; Rickettsiales; Anaplasmataceae.
CCGCGUGAGUGAGGAAGGCCUUAGGGUUGUAAAACUCUUUCAGUAGGGAAGAUAAUGACGGUACCUACAGAAGAAGUCCCGGCAAACUCCGUGCCAGCAGCCGCGGUAAUACGGAGGGGGCAAGCGUUGUUCGGAAUUAUUGGGCGUAAAGGGCAUGUAGGCGGUUCGGUAAGUUAAA